Non-coding RNA from Gongronella butleri, 73 nucleotides. NCBI's taxonomy places the organism in Eukaryota, Fungi, Mucoromycota, Mucoromycetes, Mucorales, Cunninghamellaceae. The record is from the annotation of a GenBank genome assembly.
GCCGUCAUGGCGAAAUGGAUAACGCAUUGGACUCCUAAUCCAAAGAUUACGGGUUCGAGUCCCGUUGACGGUA